Molecule: small nucleolar RNA, 138 nt
Organism: Ornithorhynchus anatinus (platypus)
Lineage: Eukaryota; Metazoa; Chordata; Mammalia; Monotremata; Ornithorhynchidae
Source: RefSeq, a predicted model, not a curated record
CCCCUCUCAGGGUCACAGCUGGAGAGUUUCCAGUACUCUAGCAGUCUCGACGGCGGGAGGGAGAGUCGAGCAGAGGCCUGGCCAUUCCAUUCCUAGCUUGGCCAGUGGCUAGUGAGUGGAAAACGACCUGCUACAACU